RNAcentral lists this ribosomal RNA (330 nucleotides) under uncultured eukaryote. RNAcentral's name for it is "partial 18S ribosomal RNA". It matches the Rfam family "Eukaryotic small subunit ribosomal RNA", at positions 1470 to 1796 of the family's 1831-position model. The record is from RNAcentral.
CCCUUAGAUGUUCUGGGCCGCACGCGUGCUACACUGAUGCAUUCAACGAGUCUAAAACCUGGUCUGAUAGGGCUGGGUAAUCUUUUGAAAGUGCAUCGUGAUUGGGAUAGAUGAUUGCAAUUCUUCAUCUUCAACGAGGAAUGCCUAGUAAACGCAAGUCAUCAGCUUGCAUUGAUUACGUCCCUGCCCUUUGUACACACCGCCCGUCGCUCCUACCGAUUGAAUGACGAAGCAAGACUUGCGGAACUGGGUCUUCGAGACUUCGGUCUUGAUGACUUGGCCGAUAAGCGGAACAAGCUUCAUUGUUUAGAGGAAGUAAAAGUCGUAACA